UCAAAAAUAAUAUUUCUAUUUGAAAAUGAAAGUAAUUUUGAUUACUUAUAUUCUACCUGAUAAACCUCCAGAGGGAUUCUCUGACAAUGGAUGUGCUUUCCUCGUAACUGAUUCCAGGCACAAUUUUCAAAUUCUCUUCUGUAACAAACACAACUCUUAGGAGCACUUCUACACUAUGACAUCUUCCUUAAGAUGAAAAUAUAGCCAAAGAAAGGAAAAUGUGCCUUGCAGACUACAGCCUACGUGAUUCCAUAGAAGAUAUUUGAAAGAUUUUUAUUUGCUUCUGGGUGGUUUUAUAACCUAAUCAGAGUCCUGACACAGCUUGGCCCUGAUUGGCCAAAGAGUGAAAACAACUCACAGCAGAAUCCAAUGAAACAAUCACCUGUGGGUAAACAAUCUCCAAACACAUCCCAAAGGAACAAAACACAGGAGAAGCAAAUGAGCCCAGCCUUGAGGGGUGUGCCCACUCCAGGGAAGAAUCUCCACACACAUGCCAAGAAAGAGCUGAAGAUCCCUCCUCUUAACAUUGGGACUGGGUUUUUGUACUAUGAAGUGCUGGACUGUCAGUCAGAUGCCCCCAGGCUGUGCCAGCUCAGCAGCUUUGGAUCAGUUGUCAGCACUAUCAUUUGUUGGUUCCUCUGUCAGGAACUCAGGAACAUUAUUCUUCCCAGGUGUUUAACUUCAGAAUAGAUAGUCAGGCUGGUCUCAGCAUCCUUCAACCCCAAAAAUUAUUCCCAUCUCCAAACAGGGGUUUAUCUGAGCUGUGUUGGCCCCACUUGGGCAGAGCAUCCUGCUCCAUCCUGCAUCUCCAUCCUACAAGUGCCAGGGAGGAACAGGUGAAGGCCAGGACCAAGCCACCCAUGCUGUUUCCAACAGGAUGUGUUUACAGCUCCAAUGUGUUGUUCCAUCUUUGCCAGGACAUGAAAAGCAGCAGUAACAGCCCAUAGCAGGGAUCUGCUGGUGCCUGUUCAACAUCACACUGUCCCAUUGGCACUCAGAAUCUCCUACUUGCAGCUGUGAAUCCUGGUUUUGGCUUAACUGAAAGAACACCCACAGAAGUGUGAACAUACCUCAGAAAGCUGAUUAGAGGAGCUGUCCACUCCUCAAACCAGACUCUCCAAAUCCCAACAACUCCUGCCUCAUCAAGGAUUGCCACAGAUCCCAGAGACUGCUAUGGAAGUUCUCCUACAUUAAACCAGUUCCUGGUGUUGCAGCCCUGUUGGAUGUCCUCCCCUGCCACAGAAGAACUAAACAUUAAAAAGUAAUCAAGCAUCUUCCAGGCAUAUGUGCCAGGCCAGUUUACAGCUUCCACUGCACUCACUCAGUUUUAUGAAGGGAGUCUUUGAAAUGACUCUCAGAUCCUUUUACAGUGGUAAUCACAAGACUAUUAAGUGAUUAAUGUGAUCAUUUGGACAGAAAGUAAAAGUUUGCCAGGCAAAGUGACAUAGAAUGCUUGUUGUAAGAGAGAAUGCAAUUUUACAAAGGUGAACAUUUAUGUGCUGGCAGUGUUUAGAAAUACACAGCUUUAAACUCAGACAAAAAUAAGGUCAAAAUCAUUUUGUAAAAUGAUUGAUUCUAGCCUGGAUGAGUAAAGAAUUUUCAGUUAAUAGAUGUGAAGAUAAUCUUAUCUAGUGCCAUGAUUUCUUCCAGAAAAGAUUAGAACUAUUUUACUGAUUGCAUUAUUUGUUAGGCAGUGGAUAAAGUUAAAAAAUGAACUUUCUUCAAGCUGAAGCACGCUUCCACCCAGUCCUCAGUACCAUGGUUUUGUUGGAUGAGGACAUCCUUUGUAGGCUGGAUUUGCCUAGGAAGAAAACCAGGCAAAAAAAAUCAUGAUACAAAAAGAUCAAUGAUUUAUUAGAACGGGUUGGUUGAGUUCUUGUGAGGUUUUUUGUCUUUUUUUUUUUUUUUCCAGUUCUCUGCCUCAAUCCCUAAAUAUGGCAGUUCAGUGCAAUUUAAAAAUCAGACAUAUUUUCAUCUUUUCUGUUAAACCCUCAGAUCCUGGUCUUGGAAAACACAGCCUUUGAGCUGCAAUGCUAGAGAAGAAUGACAAACCAUCUUCUCAAAUGAUUUUGGGUAUGAAACCUCUGGUACUUCAUUAAUGUUUUUUACCUGAGGGUUCUAAAACCCAGUCUCUCAAGGUUCCUUCUGGAAAGCCUCUUUGAAGUUUUUAGCAUAAAAUGGACAAUUUGAAAGAAUCUUUAGGAAGGUCUUGACAGUUAACUUCUCAUACAUAUGUGACAUGUACUUUGAAGAAUAAAUUAACCUUUUGUCACUCUUGAAGAGGACAGUUUUUAAAAACAAAGGUUAGCUUAGUUAGUCAGUAAGCUUAAAACUGUCCUUUUAUCAUUAAAUUUAAGUGCUGAUAAAUACAAAUAGAGAGAAAAACACAUUCUCCCUUUGGCAAACACUUAACAAACAUGUAGACUGGGAGAGAAAUCUAUAGUGCUAGAAUAUGUUUACCAGUAAAACCAACUAUUUUGCCUCUAGACACCUUUUGUUCUGUCUACUCAGAAAAAAAUUUAACCAGAAAACCAAACUCCUUUUUUUUCCUCAAGUUGUUUAUUUUUUUUCCUUCCUAUACUGAAAUUCUUCAGAUAGUUUGAAAAUGUUUCUUAGUCAAAUAUUCACCUGAGCUUUUUUUCCUGUGUGUUUAUUGAGAAAUGCCUGGAGCUGAGCUGCACAGCUCUACUUUUUAGGAGA
Long non-coding RNA from Passer domesticus (house sparrow), 2700 nucleotides. RefSeq lists it as uncharacterized. The record is from RefSeq and is a predicted model, not a curated record. The transcript is spliced from 3 exons. NCBI's taxonomy places the organism in Eukaryota, Metazoa, Chordata, Aves, Passeriformes, Passeridae.